This 301-nucleotide ribosomal RNA is filed under the name uncultured bacterium. RNAcentral describes it as "partial 16S ribosomal RNA". It matches the Rfam family "Bacterial small subunit ribosomal RNA", at positions 509 to 809 of the family's 1533-position model. The record is from RNAcentral.
CAGUAGCCACGGGAAAACGCAGGGGGCUAGCGUUGCUCGGAAUUACUGGGCGUAAAGGGAGCGUAGGCGGGUCGUUUAGUCAGAGGUGAAAUCCCGGGGCUCAACCUCGGAACUGCCUUUGAUACUGGCGACCUUGAGUAUGGGAGAGGUAAGCGGAACUCCGAGUGUAGAGGUGAAAUUCGUAGAUAUUCGGAAGAACACCAGUGGCGAAGGCGGCUUACUGGCCCAUUACUGACGCUGAGGCUCGAAAGCGUGGGGAGCAAACAGGAUUAGAUACCCCGGUAGUCCCUGUCUCUUAUAA